RNAcentral lists this ribosomal RNA (788 nucleotides) under uncultured bacterium. RNAcentral describes it as "bacterial SSU rRNA". It matches the Rfam family "Bacterial small subunit ribosomal RNA", at positions 28 to 854 of the family's 1533-position model. The record is from RNAcentral.
GAUGAACGCUGGCGAGAUGCUUUACACAUGCAAGUCGUACGAGAGUUUUAAACUCAAGUGGCGGACGGGUGAGUAACACGUAAGAAUUUACCUUUAGGAGGGGGACAACAGCUGGAAACGGCUGCUAAUACCCCAUAUGCUUUCGAGUGAAAUGGAUUUUUCCGCCUAAAGAGAAGCUUGCGGCUGAUUAGCUUGUUGGUAAGGUAAUGGCUUACCAAGGCGACGAUCAGUAUCUGGUUUGAGAGGACGAUCAGACACACUGGAACUGAGACACGGUCCAGAUUCCUACGGGAGGCAGCAGUGGGGAAUUUUCCGCAAUGGGCGAAAGCCUGACGGAGCAAUCUCGCGUGAGGGAUGACUGCCUACGGGUUGUAAACCUCUUUUUUUCAGGGAGGAAUCAAUGACGUGUACCUGAAGAAUAAGCAUCGGCUAACUCCGUGCCAGCAGCCGCGGUAAGACGGAGGAUGCAAGUGUUAUCCGGAAUCACUGGGCGUAAAGCGUCUGUAGGUGGUUUAAUAAGUCAACUGUUAAAUCUUGAAGCUCAACUUCAAAAUCGCAGUCGAAACUAUUAGACUAGAGUAUAGUAGGGGUAAAGGGAAUUUCCAGUGGAGCGGUGAAAUGCGUAGAGAUUGGAAAGAACACCGACGGCGAAGGCACUUUACUGGGCUAUUACUGACACUCAGAGACGAAAGCUAGGGUAGCAAAUGGGAUUAGAUACCCCAGUAGUCCUAGCCGUAAACAAUGGAUACUAGAUGUUGAACAGAUCGACCUGUGCAGUAUCAAAGCUA